UACGUAGGCAGCGAGCGUUGUUCGGAUUUACUGGGCGUAAAGGGCGCGUAGGCGGCAUGACAAGUCACUUGUGAAAUCUCCGGGCUUAACUCGGAACGGUCAAGUGAUACUGUCGCGCUAGAGUGCGGAAGGGGCAAUCAGAAUUCUUGGUGUAGCGGUGAAAUGCGUAGAUAUCAAGAGGAAUACCUGAGGUGAAGACGGGUUGCUAGGCCGACACUGACGCUGAAGCGCGAAAGCCAGGGGAGCAAACGGG
Molecule: ribosomal RNA, 253 nt
Filed under: uncultured bacterium
Lineage: Bacteria
Description: partial 16S ribosomal RNA
Rfam family: Bacterial small subunit ribosomal RNA
Source: RNAcentral